This 468-nucleotide ribosomal RNA is filed under the name uncultured bacterium. RNAcentral describes it as "partial 16S ribosomal RNA". It matches the Rfam family "Bacterial small subunit ribosomal RNA", at positions 28 to 507 of the family's 1533-position model. The record is from RNAcentral.
GACGAACGCUGGCGGCGCGCCUAACACAUGCAAGUCGAACGGAGCUGAGGGAAGCUUGCUUUUCUUAGCUUAGUGGCGAACGGGUGAGUAACGCGUGAGUAACCUGCCCUGGAGUGGGGGACAACAGUUGGAAACGACUGCUAAUACCGCAUAAGCCCACGAUCCGGCAUCGGAUUGAGGGAAAAGGAUUUAUUCGCUUCAGGAUGGACUCGCGUCCAAUUAGCUAGUUGGUGAGGUAACGGCCCACCAAGGCGACGAUUGGUAGCCGGACUGAGAGGUUGAACGGUCACAUUGGGACUGAGACACGGCCCAGACUCCUACGGGAGGCAGCAGUGGGGGAUAUUGCACAAUGGGGGAAACCCUGAUGCAGCGACGCCGCGUGGAGGAAGAAGGUUUUCGGAUUGUAAACUCCUGUCGUUAGGGACGAUAAUGACGGUACCUAACAAGAAAGCACCGGCUAACUACGUG